RNAcentral lists this ribosomal RNA (333 nucleotides) under Triticum aestivum (bread wheat). RNAcentral's name for it is "partial small subunit ribosomal RNA". Lineage: Eukaryota; Viridiplantae; Streptophyta; Magnoliopsida; Poales; Poaceae. The record is from RNAcentral.
AUGAUUCGGAUGUGGGGACCAUCUUUGACUGUAUUGACUUACAAAGGAUACGAGAUAAAUGGGAAUACAUUUUACACGAUCACCCAAGAUCAAAAGAGCACCAACCAAAACAGCGGUGUCUGCUUUGAUGCAGCAACCGAGAGCGGAAAUGACACAUAUUAUGGUUACAUAGUGGACAUAUGGGAACUUGACUACGGACAUGAUUUUAAGGUCCCUUUAUUUAAGUGCAAAUGGGUCAAUCUGUCAGGCGGCGGGGUACAUGUAGACCCACAGUACGGAAUAACAAUAGUGGAUCUGAAAAAUCUUGGGUACACUACGAACCGUUCGUCCUAG